GGGGAAUAUUGGCCAAUGGGGGCAACCCUGAUCCCAGCCAUGCCGCGUGUGUGAAGAAGGCCCUUCGGGUUGUAAAGCACUUUCAGCGAGGAAGAAUGCUUGUCGGUUAAUACCCGGCAAGGGAGACAUCACUCGCAGAAGAAGCACCGGCUAACUCCGUGCCAGCAGCCGCGGUAAUACGGAGGGUGCGAGCGUUAAUCGGAAUUACUGGGCGUAAAGCGUGCGUAGGCGGCUUGAUAAGCCGGUUGUGAAAGCCCCGGGCUCAACCUGGGAACGGCAUCCGGAACUGUUAGGCUAGAGUGCAGGAGAGGAAGGUAGAAUUCCCGGUGUAGCGGUGAAAUGCGUAGAGAUCGGGAGGAAUACCAGUGGCGAAGGCGGCCUUCUGGACUGACACUGACGCUGAGGUACGAAAGCGUGGGUAGCAAACAGGAUUAGAUACCCUGGUAGUCCACGCCGUAAACGAUGUCGACUAGCCGUUGGGGUCCUCGAGACCUUUGUGGCGCAGUUAACGCACUAAGUCGACCGCCUGGGGAGUACGGCCGCAAGGUUAAAACUCAAAUGAAUUGACGGGGGCCCGCACAAGCGGUGGAGCAUGUGGUUUAAUUCGAUGCAACGCGAAGAACCUUACCUACCCUUGACAUCGUGCGAACUUUCCAGAGAUGGAUUGGUGCCUUCGGGAGCGCACAGACAGGUGCUGCAUGGCUGUCGUCAGCUCGUGUUGUGAAAUGUUGGGUUAAGUCCCGUAACGAGCGCAACCCUUGUCCCUAUUUGCCAGCGAUUCGGUCGGGAACUCUAGGGAGACUGCCGGUGACAAACCGGAGGAAGGUGGGGACGACGUCAAGUCAUCAUGGCCCUUACGGGUAGGGCUACACACGUGCUACAAUGGCCGGUACAAUGGGUUGCAAAGCGGCGACGUGGAGCUAAUCUCAUAAAGCCGGUCUCAGUCCGGAUCGGAGUCUGCAACUCGACUCCGUGAAGUCGGAAUCGCUAGUAAUCGUGCAUCAGAAUGGCACGGUGAAUACGUUCCCGGGCCUUGUACACACCGCCCGUCACACCAUGGGAGUGGACUGCACCAGAAGUGGUUAGCCUAACUUCGGAGGGCGAUCACCACGGUGUGGUUCAUGACUGGGGUGAAGUCGUA
This 1141-nucleotide ribosomal RNA is filed under the name Halomonas sp. B15. RNAcentral's name for it is "bacterial SSU rRNA". It matches the Rfam family "Bacterial small subunit ribosomal RNA", at positions 356 to 1490 of the family's 1533-position model. Lineage: Bacteria; Pseudomonadati; Pseudomonadota; Gammaproteobacteria; Oceanospirillales; Halomonadaceae. The record is from RNAcentral.